UACGUAGGUGGCAAGCGUUGUCCGGAAUUACUGGGCGUAAAGGGCGCGCAGGCUGUUAUGCGAGUCUGCUGUGAAAUGUACCGGCUCAACCGGUGCCUUGCGGCGGAUACUGCAUAGCUGGAGUACUGGAGAGGGAAGUGGAAUUCCCGGUGUAGCGGUGAAAUGCGUAGAUAUUAGGAGGAACACCAGUAGCGAAGGCGUCUCUCUGGACUGUAACUGACGCUGAGGCACGAAAGCGUGGGGAGCAAACAGGAUUAGA
This 259-nucleotide ribosomal RNA is filed under the name uncultured prokaryote. RNAcentral describes it as "partial 16S ribosomal RNA". It matches the Rfam family "Bacterial small subunit ribosomal RNA", at positions 524 to 782 of the family's 1533-position model. The record is from RNAcentral.